UGGGGAAUUUUGGACAAUGGGCGCAAGCCUGAUCCAGCCAUUCCGCGUGAGUGAAGAAGGCCUUCGGGUUGUAAAGCUCUUUCGCAAGGGAAGAAAACUUAACCUCUAACAUAGGUUGAGGCUGACGGUACCUUGAUAAGAAGCACCGGCUAACUACGUGCCAGCAGCCGCGGUAAUACGUAGGGUGCGAGCGUUAAUCGGAAUUACUGGGCGUAAAGCGUGCGCAGGCGGCCUGAUAAGUCAGAUGUGAAAUCCCCGAGCUCAACUUGGGAACUGCGUUUGAAACUAUCAAGCUAGAAUAUGUCAGAGGGGGGUAGAAUUCCACGUGUAGCAGUGAAAUGCGUAGAGAUGUGGAGGAAUACCAAUGGCGAAGGCAGCCCCCUGGGAUAAUAUUGACGCUCAUGCACGAAAGCGUGGGGAGCAAACAGG
Molecule: ribosomal RNA, 429 nt
Filed under: uncultured bacterium
Lineage: Bacteria
Description: bacterial SSU rRNA
Rfam family: Bacterial small subunit ribosomal RNA
Source: RNAcentral